This 2792-nucleotide long non-coding RNA is filed under the name Mytilus galloprovincialis (Mediterranean mussel). Lineage: Eukaryota; Metazoa; Mollusca; Bivalvia; Mytilida; Mytilidae. The record is from RNAcentral.
ACAAUAAACACUAAGCGCUGCUCACUAUGAUACCAUCCUGAAGGAUCGUGGUUGAUUUUGGAAAAAGACAACGAACAUGCCAUUUUUAUUGUUGAUUAGAUAUCUACAUUAUGGUCUGAAGAACACUAGUUCCCAAAAGACAAAUGACAGCGUCAUCCACGUUUAUAUUAUAGGAUUGUGAUGAGUAUAGUCAAACUAUAGUUAUAAUAGAAAAAUUAAGGUGAGCAAUAAACGUAUUCAAUCAGUAAUUGUAUGUUACCCAUUGUACAAUAAAAAGACAAUAAAAAAAUUCAGUACACGUCAGGAUGUUAGAAGUAUAGAUUUCAAAUACAAUGUAUCAAUGUCUGAUCAUUCUUAUACACAAAUGAAAGAACAAUACAGUUACUGAUAAACGUUUCAUUUCGCUAAAUCUUUGUUUGCAUUUUAAUUAUACUUUCCAUGGACAGUGCAUACAAUGAUAUCUACAGUACGGUAGAAUCGUAGUAUAAUUCAUUCAGGACUAUAAUGAUUCUAAUGAUUCGUUUGAUAAUAAUAAAAACAAAAAUGAAAUUUAACUUAAUACAUUCGGUAAAUACAUAUUUCUAUUUAAGAUAUUUACGUCAAUAUUUGUCAAAGUUGCGCUCAUCAAUAGAUGUGUUAUGUUGUUAAACAGAUGCUGCCUUCAUUUGAAACAUAGCAACUGUCAACCUUUCUUCUCGAACAGAUUGAUAAUCGCCAGUAUGAUAAUCAAUUGACCUCUAUGAUGCGAUAAUGACGUGUAAAAUGGAAAUGAAUAUCGAAUUAUCUAUCGACUAAACCACAAAACGAUAAUCGUUAACACAAUUUCAAACAUGCCAUUUGUUCAUCAAGUGUUUUAAUAAAAAAAAAUGAAGAAAGGAUCUGACCAAAAGAGUAAGGCCGUGUUCACAUUGACAUACAUUAGGUGUUAUAUUAGUGUAUAGCACACGUAAACAAAACACAAUAACGUUACUAUUGCUUCAACUCAAUAACUCAAUGUUUAUAUGUGGUUUAACCAUGUUUUGUCUACAUGCAGUCGAUAGUCAAUGUAGGCCUUGUGUAGGUCAAGUGUACACAAGACAAGGUAUUAAGAACAUGAAUUUAACCAUGUUUAUUUAAAGAUGAAACUUUAAAAAAAUAAUUAUAUUUAUAACAAUUAUUGAUAAAGUUCUUUAACGAAUUAUUUGUCUAAACUAAAAGGGGUAGAAAUGAUAGGACGAAACAUUUGGUCUUGCUUUUUUUAGACGUCAUCUCUGUCCUGCCUUUUUUUAUUAUAUUCUGUCUUUGCCUUUUCUUUUUAGUUGAACCUGCUUUUUUUUACAUAAACUGUCAUCCUGCCUUUUUUUGGCAAAGUGACUCAUUCUGGUUUUUUUUUUCAAUUAAAACUUCUGUCCUUCCUUGUUUUAAGAUAUCGUACAAACCCCCUAUUAAUCAAAUGGAAGCUCCCUAAGUAUAUUGUAUAAUAAUUUUUGUUUGAGUCAGAAUUGUUAAUUUUCGCAUAGCACGAACAAUUUUAUUUGUUUUUUUCAACGCUAUCAAUAUUUUUUUUCCUUUCUAAAUGUUACCCUGUUAAGUAUGGGGAAAAUCUGGAUUCAUAAUAUUUUGUUUUUGUCCUCAAUGUUGUCCUCAAUUUUAGAAUUUCAAAUAAACCUUAACCCCCUUCCCAGUUGAAGCAAUAUGGGCGUUCCCUUAACCACUUUCCAGACGCAAAGCAUCAUAUUUGCCAAACGCAUAACUCAUUUGACAAUGUCUUCCCUAAUUACCUGGAUGUCACAGAAAUAUUUGCCACUGGUCUUAACUCAAUCAACGAUUCACUCAUAAAUGUAUUACUAAUACAUCUUGAACAUCUCAAUGUUUCGUCAUAGUUUAUCAGCCAUUGCCGUAGCCUUCUUUUUAUUUAUUGCAUAAUUGGUAAUAGAUCCAGUGAGGGGUUUCUGAACUCUCUUUAUUGGACGAUCAAUGUAUUUGAAAGGGGACAUAUGGUUGAAAACCCCCAUUUUCAUUCUUGGAUGGGAAUGCAAUUAUAAAAACCCGCCUCUGGUUUAGUCGAUACAUCUUUAGUAUCUUACAGUACUGCAGAUCAUCAAAAUGGAUUUCAUAACUGCUAGAAGAGUUCUCCUACACAUUUGACAUCGAUUCUUUGUAAUAAUCAUUUAAAUGACAUAUUUACUGUAUAUGGCGUUUGGUGUGAACAAGACGUACGUACGAUUGUAACCUGUGUUGCGCAACUACACAUGACCUUUUACAAGAAUCGGUAAAAAGGCAUUUUUUCCUGUUUUUAUAUAUAUAUCCAGGCGUUUUUUAUACAGGUGUGUCCUUGGACGCGAAUCUUACACAAAGAGGAUUUACAGUUAGUUUUGAUUUUACUUUGUUAAUCUUCGUUUUAACCUUUACCUUUUUUAGGGUUUAGUUUAUUCUGUAUUCACUUUCAUUCUCAACAAAAUGCUUAAAGACAAAAUUGCCAAAAUUUUAUUUUCGACCUUUUUAAGUUAUUUUGAAUGUUUGGAUGAAUUUUUUAGUCUGUUUUGUUGUUUGUCUUUUGUUGUUUGUCUUUGAUGUAGGUUGACACAGUUCGGACUAAUCGAUCAAACUUAUUGUCGCACUAACCUUUUAUGUCUGUUUGUGUUUUGACACAAAUUGGGUUAAAUAUAACCGGGCUAUACACAACUGCCAUACACGUGGGUAGGUCAGCUGUUGUUUUUUGCGUGUUGCUUUGAUUGACAACACUUGAUUUUGUCAGUUUGUGUAGACUUUUUCUUUUCUUUUAUAUUUUAUAUCACUUGUAUUACAUAUGA